RNAcentral lists this ribosomal RNA (496 nucleotides) under uncultured bacterium. RNAcentral's name for it is "partial 16S ribosomal RNA". It matches the Rfam family "Bacterial small subunit ribosomal RNA", at positions 29 to 507 of the family's 1533-position model. The record is from RNAcentral.
AUGAACGCUGGCGGCGUGCCUAAUACAUGCAAGUCGAGCGAACGGACGAGAAGCUUGCUUUUCUGAUGUUAGCGGCGGACGGGUGAGUAACACGUGGAUAACCUACCUAUAAGACUGGGAUAACUUCGGGAAACCGGAGCUAAUACCGGAUAAUAUUUUGAACCGCAUGGUUCAUAAGUGAAAGACGGUCUUGCUGUCACUUAUAGAUGGAUCCGCGCUGCAUUAGCUAGUUGGUAAGGUAACGGCUUACCAAGGCAACGAUGCAUAGCCGACCUGAGAGGGUGAUCGGCCACACUGGAACUGAGACACGGUCCAGACUCCUACGGGAGGCAGCAGUAGGGAAUCUUCCGCAAUGGGCGAAAGCCUGACGGAGCAACGCCACGUGAGUGAUGAAGGUCUUCGGAUCGUAAAACUCUGUUAUUAGGGAAGAACAUAUGUGUAAGUAACUGUGCACAUCUUGACGGUACCUAAUCAGAAAGCCACGGCUAACUACGUG